Rosa chinensis is the source of this 391-nucleotide long non-coding RNA. RefSeq lists it as uncharacterized. The record is from RefSeq and is a predicted model, not a curated record. Lineage: Eukaryota; Viridiplantae; Streptophyta; Magnoliopsida; Rosales; Rosaceae. The transcript has 2 exons.
GUCCAUUCGAAAACCCAGUCAAUAAGGACGAGAUCAGUGAGGUGCCAGAUUUAUAUCUUGGUGCAAGCGUUCAUCUCUCAAGAGAUCCUAAUAAUGUUAAGGAUCCCAAUGCCAUCCAGUGUAGGACCUAUUUGCUAUAGAGAGAAGAAGAGUGGUGGAGAAGGAGAUAGACACAAAGAAGAACAUAGCUAUCAAUGAAUGAAUGAAGCAAAGAAGAAUACCAAUGCGGUUGAACUUAUGGAGCAAAAACUAACAUAGUAAGAUAGUUCCAGGAGGCAACAAUAAAUUUUUGUAUAAGCUUCAUUCAUUUUGGUAACAUUCAUGAGAAAAAAUAAAAUGUAACUUAGGCUUUUGUAUAAGCUUAAUUUCCUUUUGUACAGUUUUUGUCCCU